RNAcentral lists this ribosomal RNA (580 nucleotides) under uncultured rumen bacterium. Its description in RNAcentral is "bacterial SSU rRNA". It matches the Rfam family "Bacterial small subunit ribosomal RNA", at positions 173 to 776 of the family's 1533-position model. The record is from RNAcentral.
CGCACAGUACCGCAUGGUACAGUGUGAAAAGAACUAUCGGCAUACGAUGGACCCGCGUCUGAUUAGCUAGUUGGUGAGGUAACGGCCCACCAAGGCGACGAUCAGUAGCCGGCCUGAGAGGGUGAACGGCCACAUUGGGACUGAGACACGGCCCAAACUCCUACGGGAGGCAGCAGUGGGGAAUAUUGGACAAUGGGGGAAACCCUGAUCCAGCGACGCCGCGUGAGUGAAGAAGUAUUUCGGUAUGUAAAGCUCUAUCAGCAAGGAAGAAAAUGACGGUACUUGACUAAGAAGCUCCGGCUAAAUACGUGCCAGCAGCCGCGGUAAUACGUAUGGAGCAAGCGUUAUCCGGAUUUACUGGGUGUAAAGGGAGCGUAGACGGCAUAGCAAGUCUGAAGUGAAAUCCCAUGGCUUAACCAUGGAACUGCUUUGGAAACUGCCAGGCUAGAGUGCAGGAGAGGUAAGCGGAAUUCCUAGUGUAGCGGUGAAAUGCGUAGAUAUUAGGAGGAACACCAGUGGCGAAGGCGGCUUACUGGACUGUAACUGACGUUGAGGCUCGAAAGCGUGGGGAGCAAACAGG